GGAUUCCGUGCUGCCCUCUUCGAAUGGGGAGCACCCGGUGAAGGAGGCCAUGGGGAGUGCUGCUGACCAAGAGGUUCUCCGGUGCGCGGCGGGGGGAGCUAUUUUUCGUGUGCGUCGAGGACAUGGCCGUCGUUCGGGGUAUGCCUUCUAUAUUCCAUAGCUUUCCUUGCUUUGGUCAGUCCCGUUUUGUAGAUCCCAUGUGUUUGUUGAGGUUGUUGUCGCCGCUAAUUUCGUCAGAGGGGCGAGAGGGGAUUAGAUCUGUGAAGUACGUUGUUGUUUGCUAUGUGCUUCUGGGCAGAGUAUGGUUGUUUGUGUGUGUGUGUUCUGUCUGAAUUUGGAAAGUACAAUUUAGGCAGAAGUUGUUUCUGUUUGGUAGGAUUUUUGGCUGUUGUAGCGUUACCAUUAGUUUGAUUUUGUUCUCACGGCUUGAACAAAGCUAGGUUUUAGUUAUGCACAUGGUAGCUUCUCCUAAUUGGGUGUUCAUUAGAUAAUGUCUAUGUUUUCAUGUGCUAACAGCAAGUUUUAUGUGCCCUGUUUAACGUUGCUCUUGUAGUUAAUUUGAGAUUAUUUUAGCUGUGUUCUUCCCAUGAAUUCACAUGAAAAUACUCUCCCUGAUUAGCCCAAUUAUUUUAGUUAUGUUCUAUUUUUUGCUUCAUGCCAUUUUUUGUGCUCACAUCUGAUGAGCCGUGUAUGGUUUGAUGCUUGUUUUUUGAGCUCCCCUUAGUUUGGGUUCAUUUCAUAUUUCACUUAUCUUACUUUUCUAAGUUCUGCUUGCCGUGUCCCUCACCACUUAUAUUGGUCUGUCCAUUUACCAAAUCAGUAAUGACAGCUAGCUAUUGUAUAUGCACGGUGGGCUAGUGUAUAUUCAUUCGUCUCAGUUUCAUCGGCCAGCAUCUUAAUUAGACUUGCGUUUAGUUUUGAUUCAUGGUCUGUAAUCUGAACUGUCUGCUCACAGCUUGAAAUCUUGAAUCGGUUAGGUGUUUUUGCUGGCUUGUUUCUUCCUUCAGAAUUGUCCCGCUGAGGGAGCUUUACAUGUAUCUGAAAUUCCGAAUGGCCCUUAGGCUGGUGUGGUUGUAUAAGUCAGUGAAUAGUUCAGUUAGGGGUUUUGCAAUUGCUCUAUUAUCACUUUCUAGUAGAUAACUGCUUUUUAUGAGAUGUAUGGACAAGGCUAGCCUUCAGGUCCAUGUAAUGACAAGCAAUUGGUCUAUAACUUAACCUGCAAAGUCACCUUUGAGUAUGGUUCAUAACUUAACCUAGAAAGUCACCUUUGAGUAUGGUUCAUCGCAUGAUAUAUGUACUGCCCUUUGUAGUUAUUUUUCUGUAUACACUCCGUAAUGACCUAAUCUUUCAUUACCUAAGUUUUAAAUUUUCCUGUUUUUAAUUUGUUCAGUUCUUAUGUAAUGUGCUUCUGAUUUUUAUUUCGUUCUUCUGAUAUUUCUUGUUCAUUUCAUUUCUUUUUAUUUUUGGGUAGGGGUAACUCCGCUUACCAUUCAUUAUGGUAGCCGGUUUCAAGCCCGGAUAAAGGAGGAGGUUCCCUUUUUUUCUUAAUCUUUCAGUCACUCAGUUUUCAUUCUUCGCCGUUCGUAUUUAUGUCUCUCAGUUAUUCUUCUCUCAGAUAAUUGUUGUCAUCUCCUUUGUUCUCAGUGUAGAGUCAUCAGGUCUCAUUUAUUGUUCUCUCAGAUUAUUGUUCUCAGUUUUGAAUCUUUUUUUGCUGAGUUAUUCUUCUCUCAGAUUAUUCAUGCCUCAGUCUUAUGCUUCCAUCUUUAUUUUCAGUGUUAGUCUCUUAGUUUAUUAUUCAGCACUCUUCAUUUCAUAUUAGUUAUUCAGUCAUCUUAAUUCCUGACCUUGCAGUUCAGUGUUUCAAUCUAUCAUGUUCAUGUCAUUUAAUUCUCUCAGUCUCUCAGUGCUCUCUAUCUCUCCGUUCAAAUGUGCCCAGUUUCAUGUUCAGUAUUUAGUUCAGUUCUAGUUACUCUUUCUUCAUUGUUUAUUUUUCAGAGUUCACUUCAGCCAUUAUCUUUUCUUCAUUUUCUAUGUACUGCAGUUUGAGUUUAUCAUAUUAGUUUCUUAGUUUAUUCACUGAGUUUAUCAUCUUUAUUUACUUAGUAUCUUCAUUUGCUUCUUUUGAUCAGUUCCCUACAUUUUAUCUCAUUUAUGCUUCUAGUGUGUACUUGUCCACUUCAUUUUGUCAGUUAUUAUCUUCACUUAGUACCUCAGUUAUAGAAUGCAGUAAGAGAUGUUACAUUUUGAGCCUUAGUUUUCAGUUUUAGUCUAAACUAUUCACUUUGUCACUUCAGUUUCUUCUAGUGUGUACUUGUCCACAUCAUUUGGUCAGUUACUAUCUUCACUUAGUAUUUUAGUUUGCAUCAGUUAUAAUAUCUCAUUUCUAGUCUCUGUCUUCAUUUUCUACUUUUGAUCAGUUAUAAUAUCUCAUUUAUGAUUCUCUCAGUCUUUCUCUCAGUCUUUGUUUUUUAUUCAUGUUCUCCACGAACUCUUCAUUCUUUAGUCAUUCAGUUUGAUAUUAUAUACUCUUUAUUCAGUCUACAAUUAAUUUUCACAUUUGUAUUCCUAGAUGUCGAGACCCAAUCCGACCUACUGACCUAGUUGCUCAUCUUCGGCCAGCUUUGUAUCAGUUGCUUUCAGCAGCCAAUGCUCUCCUAGUCCAGGCACAUCCCUAUCCGAUGCUACUUCCACCAAUAAGCAUUGUCCAUGUCCUGCAACCUCAAGUUUCAGAUCAAUACAUAGAUUGGGAGCACACCUGUGAACGAGUAUCAUCUCCAGGUUUUUCAUACAGGGGAUCUUCCUUGCUUUUCGUUUUGUUUGUGUCUUCCAUCUUAGAUCUUCUUUCACCUCCCCUCUCUAUCCUCUUCUUGAUUUGUUUUCUGUGCGAGGCAUGGAUCCGCUUGAGUUGGUGUGGGUGGUUGGGGGGUCGAACGGCGUGAGGUUGUUGGUUUCUUGAUGAAGAAGAAGAUGGGGAAUCGGGGAACUGAGUGCGCCAAGGGCUCAUUUCAGAAACUAAGUGCGUCAGGUGGUGGGAACUCAAGGGAAAACUGAGAACAGCUGGCUACAGUUCGUUGGGCAAAAAUGUGUCUGUCCACGAAUUGGAAAACAGACAGCUGCUAGUUAGUCACUCCCUUUUUUUUUGCUUCCAUGGAAUAAAUAACUUAUUAACAACGUUAAGUUCAGUUUCGCAAAAACAAUAUGUUAAGUUUAGCAGAAUUGAGUAGUCAAUGUUGCACAAUCAAGAAAAUAAUUUUGCACAAUUUGUUUAUUCUUGUAUGGGAAAUUGAUCAUUGUUAAUUUUAAAAGGCCGUUAUAACAUUU
This is a long non-coding RNA of Lolium rigidum, 3321 nucleotides long. RefSeq lists it as uncharacterized. NCBI's taxonomy places the organism in Eukaryota, Viridiplantae, Streptophyta, Magnoliopsida, Poales, Poaceae. The transcript is spliced from 3 exons. The record is from RefSeq and is a predicted model, not a curated record.